This 2822-nucleotide ribosomal RNA is filed under the name Thermus thermophilus HB8. RNAcentral's name for it is "23S ribosomal RNA from Thermus thermophilus HB8 (PDB 4V5C, chain DA)". It matches the Rfam family "Bacterial large subunit ribosomal RNA". The record is from RNAcentral. Lineage: Bacteria; Thermotogati; Deinococcota; Deinococci; Thermales; Thermaceae.
GGUCAAGAUGGUAAGGGCCCACGGUGGAUGCCUCGGCACCCGAGCCGAUGAAGGACGUGGCUACCUGCGAUAAGCCAGGGGGAGCCGGUAGCGGGCGUGGAUCCCUGGAUGUCCGAAUGGGGGAACCCGGCCGGCGGGAACGCCGGUCACCGCGCUUGCGCGGGGGGAACCUGGGGAACUGAAACAUCUCAGUACCCAGAGGAGAGGAAAGAGAAAUCGACUCCCUGAGUAGCGGCGAGCGAAAGGGGACCAGCCUAAACCGUCCGGCUUGUCCGGGCGGGGUCGGGGGCCCUCGGCCGAAUCCCCAGCCUAGCCGAAGCUGUUGGGAAGCAGCGCCAGAGAGGGUGAAAGCCCCGUAGGCGAAAGGUGGGGGGAUAGGUGAGGGUACCCGAGUACCCCGUGGUUCGUGGAGCCAUGGGGGAAUCUGGGCGGACCACCGCCUAAGGCUAAGUACUCCGGGUGACCGAUAGCGCACCAGUACCGUGAGGGAAAGGUGAAAAGAACCCCGGGAGGGGAGUGAAAUAGAGCCUGAAACCGUGGGCUUACAAGCAGUCACGGCCCCAAGGGGUUGUGGCGUGCCUAUUGAAGCAUGAGCCGGCGACUCACGGUCGUGGGCGAGCUUAAGCCGUUGAGGCGGAGGCGUAGGGAAACCGAGUCCGAACAGGGCGCGUCCGCGGCCGUGGACCCGAAACCGGGCGAGCUAGCCCUGGCCAGGGUGAAGCUGGGGUGAGACCCAGUGGAGGCCCGAACCGGUGGGGGAUGCAAACCCCUCGGAUGAGCUGGGGCUAGGAGUGAAAAGCUAACCGAGCCCGGAGAUAGCUGGUUCUCCCCGAAAUGACUUUAGGGUCAGCCUCAGGCGCUGACUGGGGCCUGUAGAGCACUGAUAGGGCUAGGGGGCCCACCAGCCUACCAAACCCUGUCAAACUCCGAAGGGUCCCAGGUGGAGCCUGGGAGUGAGGGCGCGAGCGAUAACGUCCGCGUCCGAGCGCGGGAACAACCGAGACCGCCAGCUAAGGCCCCCAAGUCUGGGCUAAGUGGUAAAGGAUGUGGCGCCGCGAAGACAGCCAGUCGAGUGGCGCCGCGCCGAAAAUGAUCGGGGCUUAAGCCCAGCGCCGAAGCUGCGGGUCUGGGGGAUGACCCCAGGCGGUAGGGGAGCGUUCCCGAUGCCGAUGAAGGCCGACCCGCGAGGGCGGCUGGAGGUAAGGGAAGUGCGAAUGCCGGCAUGAGUAACGAUAAAGAGGGUGAGAAUCCCUCUCGCCGUAAGCCCAAGGGUUCCUACGCAAUGGUCGUCAGCGUAGGGUUAGGCGGGACCUAAGGUGAAGCCGAAAGGCGUAGCCGAAGGGCAGCCGGUUAAUAUUCCGGCCCUUCCCGCAGGUGCGAUGGGGGGACGCUCUAGGCUAGGGGGACCGGAGCCAUGGACGAGCCCGGCCAGAAGCGCAGGGUGGGAGGUAGGCAAAUCCGCCUCCCAACAAGCUCUGCGUGGUGGGGAAGCCCGCAACCCCCCGAAGCCAGGGAGCCAAGAAAAGCCUCUAAGCACAACCUGCGGGAACCCGUACCGCAAACCGACACAGGUGGGCGGGUGCAAGAGCACUCAGGCGCGCGGGAGAACCCUCGCCAAGGAACUCUGCAAGUUGGCCCCGUAACUUCGGGAGAAGGGGUGCUCCCUGGGGUGAUGAGCCCCGGGGAGCCGCAGUGAACAGGCUCUGGCGACUGUUUACCAAAAACACAGCUCUCUGCGAACUCGUAAGAGGAGGUAUAGGGAGCGACGCUUGCCCGGUGCCGGAAGGUCAAGGGGAGGGGUGCAAGCCCCGAACCGAAGCCCCGGUGAACGGCGGCCGUAACUAUAACGGUCCUAAGGUAGCGAAAUUCCUUGUCGGGUAAGUUCCGACCUGCACGAAAAGCGUAACGACCGGAGCGCUGUCUCGGCGAGGGACCCGGUGAAAUUGAACUGGCCGUGAAGAUGCGGCCUACCCGUGGCAGGACGAAAAGACCCCGUGGAGCUUUACUGCAGCCUGGUGUUGGCUCUUGGUCGCGCCUGCGUAGGAUAGGUGGGAGCCUGUGAACCCCCGCCUCCGGGUGGGGGGGAGGCGCCGGUGAAAUACCACCCUGGCGCGGCUGGGGGCCUAACCCUCGGAUGGGGGGACAGCGCUUGGCGGGCAGUUUGACUGGGGCGGUCGCCUCCUAAAAGGUAACGGAGGCGCCCAAAGGUCCCCUCAGGCGGGACGGAAAUCCGCCGGAGAGCGCAAGGGUAGAAGGGGGCCUGACUGCGAGGCCUGCAAGCCGAGCAGGGGCGAAAGCCGGGCCUAGUGAACCGGUGGUCCCGUGUGGAAGGGCCAUCGAUCAACGGAUAAAAGUUACCCCGGGGAUAACAGGCUGAUCUCCCCCGAGCGUCCACAGCGGCGGGGAGGUUUGGCACCUCGAUGUCGGCUCGUCGCAUCCUGGGGCUGAAGAAGGUCCCAAGGGUUGGGCUGUUCGCCCAUUAAAGCGGCACGCGAGCUGGGUUCAGAACGUCGUGAGACAGUUCGGUCUCUAUCCGCCACGGGCGCAGGAGGCUUGAGGGGGGCUCUUCCUAGUACGAGAGGACCGGAAGGGACGCACCUCUGGUUUCCCAGCUGUCCCUCCAGGGGCAUAAGCUGGGUAGCCAUGUGCGGAAGGGAUAACCGCUGAAAGCAUCUAAGCGGGAAGCCCGCCCCAAGAUGAGGCCUCCCACGGCGUCAAGCCGGUAAGGACCCGGGAAGACCACCCGGUGGAUGGGCCGGGGGUGUAAGCGCCGCGAGGCGUUGAGCCGACCGGUCCCAAUCGUCCGAGGUCUUGACCCCUCC